RNAcentral lists this ribosomal RNA (388 nucleotides) under uncultured Prorocentrum. Its description in RNAcentral is "partial small subunit ribosomal RNA". It matches the Rfam family "Eukaryotic small subunit ribosomal RNA", at positions 30 to 432 of the family's 1831-position model. Lineage: Eukaryota; Dinophyceae; Prorocentrales; Prorocentraceae. The record is from RNAcentral.
GCUUGUCUCAAAGAUUAAGCCAUGCAUGUCUAAGUAUAAACGCUUUAUACUGUGAAACUGCGAAUGGCUCAUUAUAUCAGUUAUAGACUAUUCAAUAAUCUCUUACUACUUGGAUAACCGUAGUAAUUCUAGAGCUAAUACAUGCGUCAGAACCCAACUUUACGGAAGGGUCGUGUUUAUUAGAUACAAAACCAACAUCUCGUUGGUGAUUCAUAAUAACCAAGCGAAUCGUCGGUUUACCGACGAUAGAUCGUUCAAGUUUCUGACCUAUCAGCUUUGGUCGGUAGGGUAUUGGCCUACCGAGGCAAUGACGGGUAACGGAGAAUUAGGGUUCGAUUCCGGAGAGGGAGCCUGAGAAACGGCUACCACAUCUAAGGAAGGCAGCAGG